This 929-nucleotide long non-coding RNA is filed under the name Homo sapiens (human). RNAcentral's name for it is "HSALNT0339155". Lineage: Eukaryota; Metazoa; Chordata; Mammalia; Primates; Hominidae. The record is from RNAcentral.
GCGCACCGCAGCGCAGCGCAGCGGCCGGGGGGUGCGGGCGCCCUCGCCGCCCGGCUACCUACCGCCGCCUGGGCGCCGCCGCUGCCUCCCUUCCCCGCUUCUACCCUCCAGCAGACGCCCGCCGGAGCGACCCCUCCCAGGGUGACCGGGGGAAGGUGUUCCACGUGGCCAUAGCGUUUGCGUCACAAUGACCUGGCGGACAGGUGGGAGCCACAGCGUACACCCCAGGGUUCCCUCUGUGCUGUGCGUAGUGCCUACUGCUUGCUUCCAGGUUAAAUUUCUGUAGCUUUAGAGGACAGGAGACUUCAUGACUUCACUGCCAAGAAAAGUUACAGAGGCCUGCUGUACCUGGAAAUCAAGUUUGAGCUUCGAGAAUAAAGGUCAUGUUUUAAAAACAGCUGUAACACCAGUAAGGUGCUAGUGAGAACCCGAAACAGUUUCUAAGGAGAAUGGCUAUUGAAUGAUGGGAUCAGAAAUUAGGAGAGAAAUAAGGCUAUAAUGAAGAGAGGAGCCUUGUUUUACACUAAAAGAAAGAUCGCCUUUGGCCAUGCAGGUGAGGGCAACACCUUGGGAAUGGCAAGGAACCUGGGCCUCUGACCCCCCUGAGCUGCCAUAUUGCCUUGGCCCUUCUGCCUGGAUUGUUUUAUGAGAAGGAAAUAAAGUCACUAUAUUUUAAAAAUAUUAUUGCAGCUCAGCCUUUAUCCUCAUCAAUCCAGUUGUCUGCCCCAUGACAUUGGAUUGGACCUUCAUUUCUCAUGAAGUUUGUAUUCUGAAACAAUGAUUCUCGAUCUGUGGGUCCCAGGACCAUGAGGGUCUGUGGUGGUGACACAAAGGAUCCUAGGAUUCAAAUCCCUAACAAGUAAUGCCCACAAACAGAACCACUUGCUUGACAAACAGAAACAACACUUUUUGGAAUGUAUAUGAUGUGA